AUGCCGGUUGAAGAUGUUCUGAGUUUGAAGAUUUUCAGUAUACUGCUUUUUAAUGUGCAGAGGCUAUUUUGGCCCAGGUUUGGACAGCAAAUUUUAGAGUUAUUGUGCAGGUUUAGAACAAGGUUUGGGCAAGGCAUGGUUAAUAGAAAUUUCCGACUGUUGCAGUUUUGGGAACUUCAAUGUAAAGCUUGGAAUGAAUUAUAA
This is a non-coding RNA of Vicia faba (fava bean), 204 nucleotides long. Lineage: Eukaryota; Viridiplantae; Streptophyta; Magnoliopsida; Fabales; Fabaceae. The record is from the annotation of a GenBank genome assembly.